GUCGAUGAAAUAUCAUGCAAAUUGGUGCCUGCGUCUCAAAGAUUCCCUGUGUAAAUGGAUAUCGCUACUAACCACUAGAAAACCGAUUUGCACAAAUUCCCCCAUUUUCAGAAAUAGGGUUUCGAUUCCCUCUAAGAUUCCUUUUAGAAUAUACACUU
Molecule: long non-coding RNA, 158 nt
Organism: Octopus sinensis (East Asian common octopus)
Lineage: Eukaryota; Metazoa; Mollusca; Cephalopoda; Octopoda; Octopodidae
Exons: 2
Source: RefSeq, a predicted model, not a curated record